This 446-nucleotide ribosomal RNA is filed under the name uncultured bacterium. RNAcentral's name for it is "bacterial SSU rRNA". It matches the Rfam family "Bacterial small subunit ribosomal RNA", at positions 331 to 792 of the family's 1533-position model. The record is from RNAcentral.
CCAGACUCCUACGGGAGGCAGCAGUGGGGGAUAUUGCACAAUGGGGGAAGCCCUGAUGCAGCGACGCCGCGUGGGCGAAGAAGUAUUUCGGUAUGUAAAGCCCUAUCAGCAGGGAAGAAGAAAUGACGGUACCUGAGUAAGAAGCACCGGCUAAAUACGUGCCAGCAGCCGCGGUAAUACGUAUGGUGCAAGCGUUAUCCGGAUUUACUGGGUGUAAAGGGAGCGUAGACGGCAUGGCAAGUCAGAUGUGAAAGCCCGGGGCUCAACCCCGGGACUGCAUUUGAAACUGUCAGGUUGGAGUGCAGGAGAGGUAAGUGGAAUUCCUAGUGUAGCGGUGAAAUGCGUAGAUAUUAGGAGGAACACCAGUGGCGAAGGCGGCUUACUGGACUGUAACUGACGUUGAGGCGCGAAAGCGUGGGGAGCAAACAGGAUUAGAUACCCGAGUA